GAUGAACGCUAGCGGCAGGCUUAACACAUGCAAGUCGAACGCUCCGCAAGGAGAGUGGCAGACGGGUGAGUAACGCGUGGGAAUCUACCUAGUUCUACGGAACAACAGUUGGAAACAACUGCUAAUACCGUAUACGCCCUACGGGGGAAAGAUUUAUCGGAAUUAGAUGAGCCCGCGUAAGAUUAGCUUAGUUGGUGGGG
This 200-nucleotide ribosomal RNA is filed under the name uncultured bacterium. Its description in RNAcentral is "partial 16S ribosomal RNA". It matches the Rfam family "Bacterial small subunit ribosomal RNA", at positions 28 to 257 of the family's 1533-position model. The record is from RNAcentral.